GAGGCACUUGUGUCCCGCCUUCCAGCGCCUGCGGUAAAGAUGUCCCACCCAUUCCCAGAAGCCAAGCCCUCCAAUUCCAAGAACCUGAGAGUCCUCUUUGACGUGGACAUCGGCAGGGAGCGGGUUGGACGAAUUAUUUUAGAAUUGUUUGUAGAUAUUGUUCCUAAAACUGCAGAAAAUUUUCGUGCAUUGCAUACAGGAGAAAAAGGCACGGACCCCCAACAGGAAACCUCUCCAUUUUAAAGGAUUCCCUUUCCACUGAACUAUUAAGAAAUUCAUGAUUCAGGCUGGAGCCUUCUCAAAUCGGAUUGGGACAGGUGGAGAAAGUAUUUAUGGUGAAAAAUUUGAAGAUGAGAAUUUUCAUUAUAAGCAGGACCGGGAGGGUUUGCCGAGCAUAGCAAGUGCAGGUCCCAAUACAAAUGGUUCUCAGUUCUUCAUCACAACAGGUCCAACUCCUCAUGUGGAUGGGAAACAUGUGGUAUUUGGUCAAGUAAUAAAAGGGCUAGGUGUGGCAAGGAUGCUUGAAAAUGGAUAAGUGAAUGGUGAAGAAUCUGCCAAACUCUGUUAUUGCAGAAUGUGGAGAAUUGAAAGAAGGGGAUGACUGGGGAAUAUUCCCCAAAGACGGCUCUGGGGACAGUCAUCCAGAUUUCCCUGAGG
Molecule: long non-coding RNA, 657 nt
Filed under: Rattus norvegicus (Norway rat)
Lineage: Eukaryota; Metazoa; Chordata; Mammalia; Rodentia; Muridae
Description: long non-coding RNA NONRATT009216
Source: RNAcentral